AGUGGACGCUGGCGGUAGGCCUAACACAUGCAAGUCGAACGGCAGCACAGUAAGAGCUUGCUCUUACGGGUGGCGAGUGGCGGACGGGUGAGGAAUACAUCGGAAUCUACUUUUUCGUGGGGGAUAACGUAGGGAAACUUACGCUAAUACCGCAUACGACCUACGGGUGAAAGCAGGGGAUCUUCGGACCUUGCGCGAUUGAAUGAGCCGAUGUCGGAUUAGCUAGUUGGCGGGGUAAAGGCCCACCAAGGCGACGAUCCGUAGCUGGUCUGAGAGGAUGAUCAGCCACACUGGAACUGAGACACGGUCCAGACUCCUACGGGAGGCAGCAGUGGGGAAUACUGGACAAUGGGCGCAAGCCUGAUCCAGCCAUACCGCGUGGGUGAAGAAGGCCUUCGGGUUGUAAAGCCCUUUUGUUGGGAAAGAAAAGCAGCAGGUUAAUACCCCGCUGUUCUGACGGUACCCAAAGAAUAAGCACCGGCUAACUUCGUG
RNAcentral lists this ribosomal RNA (492 nucleotides) under uncultured bacterium. RNAcentral describes it as "partial 16S ribosomal RNA". It matches the Rfam family "Bacterial small subunit ribosomal RNA", at positions 29 to 507 of the family's 1533-position model. The record is from RNAcentral.